UACGGAGGGAGCUAGCGUUGUUCGGAAUUACUGGGCGUAAAGCGCACGUAGGCGGCUUUGUAAGUUAGAGGUGAAAGCCCGGAGCUCAACUCCGGAACUGCCUUUAAGACUGCAUCGCUUGAAUCCAGGAGAGGUGAGUGGAAUUCCGAGUGUAGGGGUGAAAUUCGUAGAUAUUCGGAAGAACACCAGUGGCGAAGGCGGCUCACUGGACUGGUAGUGACGCUGAGGUGCGAAAGCGUGGGGAGCAAACAGG
This 253-nucleotide ribosomal RNA is filed under the name uncultured bacterium. RNAcentral describes it as "partial 16S ribosomal RNA". It matches the Rfam family "Bacterial small subunit ribosomal RNA", at positions 524 to 776 of the family's 1533-position model. The record is from RNAcentral.